GGUCCGUUGGUCAAGCGGUUAAGACACUGCCCUUUCACGGCGGUAACACGGGUUCGAAUCCCGUACGGAUCA
This 72-nucleotide transfer RNA is filed under the name Lactobacillales bacterium. RNAcentral describes it as "tRNA-Glu". It matches the Rfam family "tRNA". From Rfam's summary of the family: Transfer RNA (tRNA) molecules are approximately 80 nucleotides in length. Lineage: Bacteria; Bacillati; Bacillota; Bacilli; Lactobacillales. The record is from RNAcentral.